RNAcentral lists this ribosomal RNA (493 nucleotides) under uncultured bacterium. Its description in RNAcentral is "partial 16S ribosomal RNA". It matches the Rfam family "Bacterial small subunit ribosomal RNA", at positions 30 to 523 of the family's 1533-position model. The record is from RNAcentral.
AUUGAACGCUGGCGGCAUGCCUUACACAUGCAAGUCGAACGGUAACAGGUUAAGCUGACGAGUGGCGAACGGGUGAGUAAUAUAUCGGAACGUGCCCAGUCGUGGGGGAUAACGUAGCGAAAGCUACGCUAAUACCGCAUACGAUCUACGGAUGAAAGCGGGGGAUCGCAAGACCUCGCGCGAUUGGAGCGGCCGAUAUCAGAUUAGGUUGUUGGUGAGGUAAAAGCUCACCAAGCCUGCGAUCUGUAGCUGGCCUGAGAGGACGACCAGCCACACUGGAACUGAGACACGGUCCAGACUCCUACGGGAGGCAGCAGUGGGGAAUUUUGGACAAUGGACGCAAGUCUGAUCCAGCAAUGCCGCAUGCAGGACGAAGGCCUUCGGGUUGUAAACUGCUUUUGUACGGAACGAAACGGUGAGCUCUAAUACAGUUUGCUAAUGACGGUACCGUAAGAAUAAGCACCGGCUAACUACGUGCCAGCAGCCGCAGUAA